UACGGAGGGUGCAAGCGUUAAUCGGAAUUACUGGGCGUAAAGGGCACGCAGGCGGGCUUUUAAGUCAGAUGUGAAAUCCCCUGGCUCAACCUGGGAACUGCAUUUGAUACUGGGAGGCUUGAGUACUGUAGAGGGGGGUAGAAUUCCACGUGUAGCGGUGAAAUGCGUAGAGAUGUGGAGGAAUACCGAAGGCGAAGGCAGCCCCCUGGGAGUGUACUGACGCUCAGGUGCGAAAGCGUGGGGAGCAAACAGG
This 253-nucleotide ribosomal RNA is filed under the name uncultured bacterium. RNAcentral's name for it is "partial 16S ribosomal RNA". It matches the Rfam family "Bacterial small subunit ribosomal RNA", at positions 524 to 776 of the family's 1533-position model. The record is from RNAcentral.